RNA transcript from Dermochelys coriacea (leatherback sea turtle), 2797 nucleotides. It is a transcript of the gene named ALG5 dolichyl-phosphate beta-glucosyltransferase, with no coding region annotated. The record is from RefSeq and is a predicted model, not a curated record. NCBI's taxonomy places the organism in Eukaryota, Metazoa, Chordata, Testudines, Dermochelyidae. The transcript has 13 exons.
CCGGGAGACGCUUCCGCAUCGGUGGAGCUGCCCCAUAGGGCCCUGCCUGGCAUGGACCAUGGAGCUGCUCCUGGGUGACGCGGUGGCGGCGCUCGCCGCCUUGGCGGCCGCAGCCCUGAGCCUGUGAGAAUCAAGUUUAAAGUGGAUGUCUCGCUGGUUACUUCUUCUACCUUCUGAAACAAGAAGUUGUCCCCAAUACAGUCCAAGAAUUUAUAGGACACUUUGUGUUAUGACACUUCACUUUUCUGACAGAUGUUUGGGGACUUUAAACUUGAGUGCCUCUCACCACCUUCUGGACCUCAGAACAAGUAUUACUAUUGUUGCCCAUAUAACUGCCACCAAAAUGGCAAAUCUUCAUCGACAUGAAGAAGAGAAGUUCUUUAUGAAUGCUGAAGGAAAGAAGGAAUCUAUACCAAGCAUACAUGACCCUCCUACAAAGGAGUUCUCUGUUGUUGUGCCUUCAUACAAUGAGGAAGACAGGUUGCCUCUUAUGAUGGAUGAAGCUUUAGACUAUCUUGAAAAAAGACAGAAACGAGAUCCUACGUUCACUUAUGAAGUAAUAGUUGUUGAUGAUGGCAGUAAAGAUCAGACCACAAAGGUUGCAAUGAAGUACUGCAAGAAAUAUGGAAGUGACAAAGUACGAGUCCUAACAUUGGUAAAAAAUCGGGGGAAAGGUGGAGCUGUCAAAAUGGGUGUCUUUAGCUCUCGAGGGGAAAAAAUCCUUAUGGCUGAUGCAGAUGGAGCCACGAAGUUUGCAGAUAUUGAAAAAGUUGAAGAGGGUCUUAGAAAUCUCCAGCCAUGGCCAGACCAGAUGGCUAUUGCCUGUGGUUCUCGAGCCCAUUUGGAGCAGGACUCAAUAACACAGCGCUCUUACUUCCGAACUCUUCUCAUGUAUGGGUUCCACUUCUUAGUAUGGUUUCUCUGUGUCAAGGAAAUCAGGGACACACAAUGUGGGUUUAAACUGUUAACCAGAGAAGCGGCCUCUCGGACUUUCUCAGCUCUUCAUAUAGAACGCUGGGCAUUUGAUGUGGAACUUCUUUACAUAGCUCAGCUCUUGAAAAUACCAAUAGCAGAGGUUGCUGUCAACUGGACUGAAAUUGAUGGUUCGAAGCUGGUUCCCUUUUGGAGCUGGCUGCAGAUGGGCAGGGAUCUUCUUUUUAUACGACUGAGAUAUUUGACUGGUGCCUGGCGUCUCGAAACAAGCAAAUCUAAUUAGGUUAUUUACAUUCUCCAAAUGCAUUAUUACACAUAAUGGAGCACAAGAACUAUUUCAGUGAACUGAAAUGUUGGAGAAAGCUGAGGUUACUCUUCAUUGCUGCUGUUAUGUACUGCAUUUUUGCAAUAUCUGUCACUUCUGCUGAAUGAGUUAUGUGACUGAUUGCUGCAUUAACCAGAAUAAAGUGAUAACUGCUCACUUGUGGUAAGUGUUCUGUGCUCUACUGAUGUGAUAGGCAGGGCUGGUAGUGCCACCUGUUAAGGUUGUUUGAUGUUUCCCAUUAUAAGAUCAUGUUCUCAGUAGCUUAUAACUUUCUCAAACUAACCAUUUGGGCUGCAGUUUUCCAUGCAAGGUGUCUGCCUCAGUCUGAUUUUGAAAACUUCAACUGAAUAUUUUUGGCAGCUUCUUAGAAAGAGGCUAGGGGAAUCCAGUUGUUGGGUUUUUUUUUAAACCAAGGAAACUACACACAAAAUACCUGCAUUAAAAGAAUAUUAGUAACCAAUCCUUCCAGAUUAAAUAUCACAGGAUUUGUCAGUAAAAACCAUUAUUAGAUUAUGGAAAUUACUAUGCAUUUGAGUAACACUCAUCAUAAAUCUGUGUAUAACAAAAUUAAAAUGAGGCUUAAAUAAUUAGAUCUCAUCAUGAAGCUGGCAAAAAACAAAAUUAUUUGUUUCACAGCUUUCAGAAUUGACCUACUUUCAUCUCUCCAAAAUUUUCUGCAUGACUUCAAUCAAUAUCUUCAGGUUUUGAAUCAUUAUCCAAGUUUCUUUUACUGAAAAUAGUUUUCAGUAAUGAAGAUUUCAGUAAACGAAAAACAUCAGUGAUUUUGAAAACGUUGGACAAAAAUUAAUGUGGCAGAAAGUUUUGCAAAAGAGAAUUUUUAAUAAAAAGCUGUCAAAUUUAUCAAAAGUUUUUUUUUCACUGGCCAUUUUCUGUAGAAAAAUAGCCUUUCAAAAAGAAAACAAUAAAUUCUUUGUUAAAUUUUGACAAGCUCUAAAAUUCAUCUAAUUCUUUUACUCGGGAUUCUUCCAUUGUUAUUGGAUAAUAUGAAGCAAUGGUGAAGCAGAGACUCCAUCAUUAAGAAUGUGUAUAGAUAUCCAUUGUAAUGCAACUUCACAAACUCUUUUCCUUGACAUUUUCCAUAUGUUGUCUUUUAGCACACUCCCCUUAUAUAUAAUCUGACAAGACAUUUGGAACAUGACUGCUGCAGGAAAAAAGCCUCAGUAGUAAUUCUGUUCUGUUAAUAAAAUUUUCUCAAUUUUUUUAGUAGCUUGACCUGGAAAUUACAAAUUUGGUCUGAAAAAAGUUCAUAUGCAGCAUUUUUGGAACAAUUGGAGAGUUAAUUUUAAAACUGUUCACUAUAGUUGGUCUGUCUUGAUAUUGCCACCCAUUUUCUGAAGUCCACAAAGCUCCUAGUGGAGUCUGAAGUCUACAUGCUCUCCUGCAGAGAGGAGAUAGGGAUUUAAUUGCUAAACCGUUCCAAAUGUGGCUCAGCAAAGGCAAGAGACUCCAAGAACACCAAUUACAAGUGAGUAACUGCCUUUUUAUUGUGUUUAACAAUAAAAUGACAUAAUUCUGAUA